This 16800-nucleotide long non-coding RNA is filed under the name Nicotiana tabacum (common tobacco). Its description in RNAcentral is "long non-coding RNA (NTAB_LNC001548)". Lineage: Eukaryota; Viridiplantae; Streptophyta; Magnoliopsida; Solanales; Solanaceae. The record is from RNAcentral.
CCAUUUCCCAAAAAAAUCAGACCUAGAGAACAAGAUAAGGGAUCCCCAUUCCCUGACCUAGAAACGACACUCAUAUUCAACAGAGGAGACCUCUCCACUCCAAAAACAAACAAUAACACGUCUCUCUCUCUCUCUUUAACAUCAAAGAACCGAAGACUCCCCCUAUUUUUGUCACACUAGCUGUCACCUCAUCCUAAAAAACAGAAGAGAGACGAUCCCUUUCCAUUUUUUAGCCUAACUAGCGACGCCUCACACACAUAGAGAGAACAGCGAAAAAUGGCCCCUCUCUAUCUUUGCCUACCUCCUUUCGUCACUCUCACAAACAUUGACAAAAUAGCUAGAAAGUAAGUGGGGGAUUCAAUAAUCCGAGAUCUAGAAAAAUCAAAAAAAAGAAAGAAAAAGAAAUGAUGUUCUGGAAAAAUGAAAUAAAGGAAGAACAACAAAGUUUUGGUAUCCUACAUCAAAUUUUGGAUUCAAAUAGUUCCAAAUCGAACUGGAGUUGUUUGAUGCUGAUUUCGAGCUCAUUUUCCUAGGUUUCGAAUUUUUCUUCCUCUGGUUUAGGGCUUGCUUGUUGCUGUUGAUUGCUGAAAUUUCUGCUGAGCUUCGAUCGAGUUUGUCUCGAUUUUUGGUCAGUUUAUUCAAGUUUCCUUGUUCAACCAGGUACUCUUCUAUGAAUUCUGGGUUACAUAUUAGAUGGGAACACACCUCUAGUGAAGAAUUUUUUUUUAUUUAAUUAUGAAAAUUGAUGUUGGAUUUCAAUGUUUGCUUAGCUUCAUAUCUCAUUUUAUGUUUUAAGUUUAGUAUAUUAUAAUUUAAGUCUAUUUGUGAUGUCUCUAUACUUUGAUAUUUUUUUCCGUUCAAUUGGAAAUUCUCGGUGCAAUAUUUCUGUGUGGUUGUUAAUUAGUCUACAAAAAUGAGUACUAUUGAAUGUAUUGGCAUCGUAAAGCUAUUAGGCUAAAAGGAAACAUUUGCUAGCAUUCAAGUUGUUUGGUUUCAAGUUGUUUACUAAAUAGCUGAUACGUGCAAAAAUCAAGUGGAUUAAUAUAGGAGGCACUUUAUAGUUGCUACUGACGAAGAAUGAAUACCAAAGCGGAUUUACUCUAUAUAAAUUAAAAAUGAAGGAAAAGUUGAGAGCAAAAUUAGACAUGUUUUUAAUUGCCAACCUUAUUUCAUGCAUGUCACUGCUGCACUUCCUAUGUGAAGGGUUUUUAAUGUUCAUUAACCUUUGUGAGUAGACUUAUUUGUAUGGCUUUUUUUGGGAGGGUGUUGUCCAUUGGUGACUAUGUCAUCGCUUACUUAUUAAUUUUCCAAAGAAUAUACCAGCAUAUUGCUCUGAGUUUUAAAAGAUAAAAUGUCAAUUUCAAAUUCCUUUUAGAUAUUAGCUUUUCUACAAAUUAUUGGUUUGAUUGUUGAACAUUUGAGAUAGAUGUGUGUUUCCAUUUUUCUGAAAGUGAACUGCUACUGAUAAAACAGCACCCCUUCUUUCAUGCUUAGCUAGCUUUUUAAUGAUUAUUCACUAUCUGCCAUAUUUCUCACACUAUGUACUUCUUCUUUCUUGGUCUAUAUCUUUUCCUUUUCGCAAAUUCAAAUUACCCUCCUACAACAAUAAUUUCCUAUCCAAAACUCAUGGCCUUGCAAUAAUCCGAAACUUAGAAAAAUAAUCAUGAACAUCGUAGCUUGCUUUAGGUGCGAUUAAAUAAAUUAUCGUGGCCAUGGGUACGGUUCCUGUGGCAUGGUCAUGAUACAUAAUCUCCAAUUCGAGUGUACAUUUCAUGUGACCCGAUCAUAACAACUUCGAAUAGUAAUAAAAUAAAUAUGUCACAAAUCGCAGGUGCAUUUCAUGUAGCGCGGUUUGCAAUGUGCUCCGAAAUGGCAAGUGUAUGACGAUCGUAACUUGUUCAAGAAAAUAAUUUCAUAAAUCCUAAAAAGCGGUUUAAAAUAAUUAAAAGCGGUUAUAUAGUUAAAAAUGCACAAUAGGUUCUAAACAUGUAAUAAAUCAGAUAAUUAGGCCAAUUAAUAAUAGUUGAGCGACCGUGGUGAAACCACAGAACUCGGGAAUGCCUAACACCUUCUCCCGGGUUAACAAAAUUCUUUGCCCGGUCUUCUGUUUUCGCGGACAAUAAAUAAGAGUCAAUUUCCUCGAUUUGGGAUUUAAAAUAAAUCGAUAACUUGGGACACCAUUAACUAUUCCAAGUGGCGACUCUGAGAAUAAAUAAAAUAAUCCUAUUUCGAUUAUGUCACUUUAAUUGGAAAAACUCCUCUAUAUCCCCUUUCGGGUAAAAAGGAGGUGUGACAACUUCUCAAAAACUUUCAAAAUUCUAACUUUAACCAAACGACUCCAAAAUGACCUGCAGACCUCCGAAUCCACUUCUGAUCGUCCAAGACCAAUUUUAUCAUACAAACCUGGAACCUUCAAAUCCCGAUUCCGAGGUUGUUUACUCAUAAAUCAAACCUAACUCAAUUCUUUCAACUUAAAGCUUCCGAAAUGGGAAUUUUCUUUCCAAAUUCCAAACUUCCCGAAAUUCAAUUCUAAUCACGCGUACAAGUCAUAAUUCCUAAAGCGAAACUGCUCAUGGCCUCAAACUGCCGAAUGACGUGAUAGAGCUCAAAACGAUCGGUCGGGUCGUUACAUUCUCUCCUACUUAAACAUACGUUCGUCCUCGAACGUGCUGAGACCUGCACUGGAGUUGUCCGAAAUUACUGUUUAACACCUCGUGCACCUACCCAUGCUACCACAACUCAGUUUAGCACAUUAGAUCGAUCAACUUUGAAGAUAUCCUCUUUUAUUUAGGCAAAAGAGCCUUAAAGCCCAGUUUCAACGUCCGAAAUUCUCUGCCAGGCUUGCUUCCAAUAUAUGAACACUGUAUCAAUCACUAUACGAUGUACCAGAACAUGACUGCAUACCUUUGUUGAAUUCUCACCAUGCACCACAUCAUUCACAGGACCAUAAUAACAUUCUCUAAUCAUAAUAACUGACAUUCCCUGAAUCUGAUGCUCACAAUGCACCUCAUGACAUGUAUAAGUCUUGUUCCAACUCUUACAAUACAACCACAAUGGAAGAGACGUGUAGAAAUUCAUAACCGACUGCCGAGUCAACACCUCAUUGAGGCUAUACUCCUGACAAGAACCAUUACCUCAUUCUAAACCACCUAAUGGUAUUUGCUCUUUAAUAUACUUCAUAUAAUCUGAUCACACUAAUCCUAGAUCUAAUAUUCUUGUCUCACUCAGUACGAACUGCUCAGGCAACAAGUCACCCCUGACAUGACCAAAAGUCUCAUAUGAUGCCACAAUAUGCCAAUAGGCUACCAACUUGAACGUGAUACAUAAGGAAAACAAACACUAAACGGGACUACUCAACUCACGCAGCUAAUAUGGACUUUUCUCAUAAAAUGGAAAACAAAACACAUAAAAGUUAGAAUAUAGAAAACUGCACUCAACAUCAUACUGUUGCGGCGUGCAAACCCGAUCCAAACAACAUACCCGUGGUGGCGUGCCACCCGAUCCACACAUAAAACUCAUAUAAGGAGAUACACACCGAGCUAAAUUGCUCAUUACUACUAAAUACCGAAUAUCAGUCAUAAGCACGCUAAGUGCGUAUUACCAUCCCUGGGGAGACAUAUAGUGCCAUAAGCUACAAAAAGCAAGCACAACUGAGGUGCGAUAUAUGAUCUGAAUCUCAAGGGCCAUCAUGCUCACAUAACACCAUCGCUACACGGAACCUCAACAUAUAAGGAAAUUAUCAAGCCGUCUGACAACUCAUACGGUACCAUAUAGUAUUACAUGAAAUAGCCGAUGAUGAAAUAACAUCCAACGUCCGAAUACUCCUCCAUAAGGGGUGUUAUACUGAAAUGAACACAUCUGGCCUGAUAUAGGGCCCAUUUAAAUCUACUCACCGACCUCGAGCCGUUUCUGACCGCACCAUACUAGACUAAUAACCUUUCAAGGGUCCAUAAUAACCCCUUUUUCCUAUGACUCACAAGAACAACCCUCAUAUCCAGAGCAAACCUCUGCAGUCCACAACCCAAUAAACCGAGUGACCUCCUGGCAUAAAUUCUCAAAUUCGUGAUACUACCACAAUCUUCACACUAGGUCUAAAUCUUCAAUCAAUCAAGUGACUACUUGUCACACUUAUACAAUCUUCCCGCGAGGUACGCUACCACGACCUUCCGUACUAGACAACGAGUCUACACAUUCGUACCAUCGGAACAUUAAUGUUGUAAAGCAUAUCAAGAAUCUGUAACCAAGAUGCAAACCCUCCGACACAAAAUUCCGAUCUCAGGUGACGCUGAAGACAAUACUGGCUUACUCCAAACAUCCAAAUCCCUUUCCUGCUCAUCUGAGCUCAUUACAUCCUCGUCAAAAACCAAACCGCAACCUUGAUCCUCACUUUUAAAUUUCAUACCGCUCACUGCAGCUAACAUGCCAAUAUGAGAUAGCGCCAAAAUUUCAUCAUAACUCCUGAACCACUAAUAGGGUAAACACUUCAUCACCUAGAAGCUUUUUACUUAACUCAUUCCAAGAGAACCAUAGCAACACAUGAGUGAAUUCUCAUAACUGUAGAACAUUCAAAUCCUCAAGUAGUGGUCUAAACCACCAUAACCUUUUUGGGAUCCGCCUACACCUAAUAGGCCAUAAUACUUGAAUACUUCCAAAUACAAUCAAUUAUGGUGGCCGUCGAGCCUUGCACGUACCGCCACUAUGCCAAUUCAACCAUGGCUAACCAAUCCAACUUCUUCUAAUCCAUCCUUAACUUGCCUAGAGAUAAUAAUAGCUCUAUUUCCUUACAUCAGCAACCUAAAUCCACACUCACCUUGAGUGACCCCAUUCCAUGAGACCAUAUUGUCUCCAAACCCAUGAACCGUUUCAUACCCUCCUUGCACGCACAUUCACAUCUUCAACUGAUACAACCGUUCGGAUAAUUCCUUUACGAAUCCAAAGUCUUUUUCUUUUUUUCCUCCCAAUGCUACACUGCAAGUCGAAACCAUCAUAGAACAUUCUGAGCCUCUUAUCAUAAUCUGCUACAAAAGCUCGAUUCUUAACCAUACUGCGGGCUUGAAAACUUAGGCGCUGCAUUUGAACCCUUGAAUUCACUAGGACCAUUGUUGAGAGUCACCCACUCUAGCUGGUCCCGAAUAUAAUCAACUCCAAGGCUCCGCUGGCACAUGAACACCCAUCUCAAUGAAGCAUCCAACUGAAUCACUUCCCUAUAAAUUACCUCUGUACGAAGCAUAAAUCCUGAAUCUUCCCAAAGCCUGAACAUGUAAGGCCAACUAUAACAUCCCUUUAUCAAUUUCUUUUCUCAAAUUACCACUUAUGUUCUUUUCCCUUAGCUACAAUAACUCACCAAUAUGCCGAUAACUCGAACCUCACCAGUAGAUAACCAUGCAACCUAAUCGAAGGUAGUGGGACCCUCCCACUUAGCUUGAAACUACUAUUACACAACUUUGGAACCCACAAAGAUUCUUUCUUCAUUGUUGACAUGAUCUUACACAACCAACCCGCCAUUCACGCGAACACUGCACUAGUUUUUAACACUCUGAAUCUCUGAAUCUCUAGCAACAUUCACGCAUUCGACUUCUUACUGGAUAGUCAACAAAAUGCUCUACAGAAGCUUCGCCAACCACGCGACCGCUGACCUGCUCACAGGAGAUAACUCACCUGUGGAAAUUACACGUCGACAUUUUCCAACAUCGCCGCAUGGGGUACAAUCAAUACGACAUCAAUAACCCAUCCUAAGCCCGUGAUCAUUCGCCAACUGUACUAGUCCAUCCUCUUCUUAUGGACAUCAACUAAAUACACGACAAUAUCUUCCAAUUCAAAGUGAUGUUGUAUCCUUCCUCAUAUCAAGCAACUCAUUGUGUUGCAUCCAAUCUCCCACCGUAUAAUAGCCAAUAAUUCAAAUCAAGACCGUAGACCUAAUUAUUGUCCACCAAAAUUCCCAAAUCGCUCCAAACUUUUCCUCAAGGUGUGCAGUUACCCUGCCACUGAACCCAUAUGCUACUCUGCCACUCUCCCACUUUGGGCAAACUCACUUCUUUAAGAAACUACUCGACUUUUGCUUCUUACACCUGGCCUUCUAGAAGUUUAACCUCUGCAUGACACUUCCCAUGUGUUCUUCCUCAUCCUUUGAUGCUCAGCUGAUGCCUUAGGUCAAAAUCUAUCUCAGUAACACUUGAACCAAUAGACCGCUACUAACUUUAAACCUUUUCGAAGAUCAUUUUUUCUCAAGUCGUCGACAUUAGAAAUAUUGAUUCAAUCCUGAACCACCGCGCCCCUCGAGCUUUGACAAAUGCUUCUUCAUUACUAUCUCACAAUAUCCUGCCCCACAGGCGAUUUGUAGAAGAUCAUAACACCGACAAACUUAACAUAUUCAAUCGAGGAGGACGACACCAAGCAUCGGAUGAAAAUUCCACCAUACUUGAAAACACCAAGUCUCGUUACUCCGUCAAUCAAAACCUAAUCAUUCAUAGUCCGAUUGACUUUCCUUCGCUGGAAAUACAAUACCGAAGCUCUGAAUCAUGCACUGAGACAACCUUCUUCCAAGUCAUAUGCUACUUCCAUGAUUGGACAAGCAUCCCACCAUCACAUCAAUACCAUGCAACAACCAUUCAUGAGCAUUAUAGCAACAUGUGCAUAGCCUCAAAGCUCUCAAAAGUACAGCUAUGGAGCUAAAAUGAUAGACUAUCCUUCCACAAGGUGACGACAAUAGACCAAACAACCAUGUAGGGAGAGACAUCACGCACCACAUCUGUAGUACCAUUAAAAUUUCUCAAUUGUUGAUUUUUAAUAAGCGCUUCGCAUCGCAUAAGAUCGAGUAGGAAGGAAACAAAGGCAUAAGCCUCAAAGGAAUCAAAUGACACGAUGAGGAAUCAAAAAGGUAAGUGCUCCUAACAGCCCUGUAGCUUCUCGAAGAUAAGUACAGACGUCUCCGUAUUGAUCCACAAGACUCUACUAGACUUGAUUAUGACUCGUGAGACCUAAGGGAACCUAGUGCUCUGUUACCAAGUUGUCACGACCCAAAAUCCAUUAAGGGUCGUGAUGGCGUCGGACACCACUGUCAGGCAAGCCAACACUAAGAAGGUAAUUAAAUUCUCAUUUUAGUAUUUUUGAAAUUAUUUAUUUUCCUUACACUUCCACAAUAAAUAAUGAAAUUCACUGAAUAAAUAAUGACGUUUUUAACAAAUUUAAAUAUUGAAUAAUCCCAUAGUCAUCCCAGAACCCGGUGUCACAAGUGCAUGAGAAAUUUCUAGGAAAUAAAAUGCAAUACGAUAAGUGUCCGGAAUAUAAUUGGACAGAAAAGAAUUACAAUACUCUGAAAGAGACUCUGCUGGUUGCGAGUCGUCUCGAGAAAUGCAGCUCACCUAAGUCUCUGUGUCAACCAUGCCGCUACGUCCAAUGGGGCCACUAGACGUACAUGUGCCUGUGCAACAAAAAUACACAGCAAGUGUAGUAUGAGUACGAAAACCACGCAUACCUAGUAAGUACCCAGUCUAACCUCGAAGAAGUAGUGAUGAGGGGUCGACUUCAACACUUACUAGUGGUCCAAUAAUAUCAUAAUAUGAAGUUCUAAUUUAACAUGAUAUGUAGAGAUACAACAAAACUCAGAACAAGAAGAGAGCUGAACAAUUCUUUCAUUAUUAUUAAAGAACCCCAAAACACUUCCUUCAUUUUAAACAAUGAUCUCUCAACGAUGAAUUUAUACAAAUUAUAUAAAGGGUUUUCAGUUAUAUCGUCACACAUAAUUUCCACCGAGGACGUUCGGCCCAAUCCAACAUAAAUGUAAAUUGUGCACUGCUGAGGGUCGAACGGCGCGAACCAUAGAUGUAUCUAUUUCCGGGCUCGCGAAUCAUACAUGUGACGCGGUCCCUACUCGCAAGUCAUACAUAUGACGCGGUCAAAUAUAAAUUUAAGAAAUUACCCCGCUCGCGAAUCAUACCUAUGAUGCGGUCAAAUAUAAAUUUAACAUUAAAAUCAUAUCUCUCUUAAUUAUUUUCAAAAUGAUGGAAAUUCAGCUUGUAGUUUUUUAACAAAAUUACCCCGCUCGCGAAACAUACAUGCGACGCAGAUACACAUAGAUUUCUUAAGCUAUUAUAAUAUUCCUCAAUUCUUUCUGAAAUUACGAAGUUCAAAUGAAACCUUUUAAAUCUUAAAUUCUUCAAUUUCACUCCUUUCUAAACUUUUAAUAAGCUAACUCAAUAUCGCUCCCUCUCAAGGCAAGCAAUAAACGUAAAUCAAUAACAAUAUCAACAAGGCAUGGUGUGAGCCUAAAACUACCCGGACAUAGGCAUAGCUAGUAGCUACGUACUGAAUCUCGCCAUCUCGUGCGUACGUAGCUCCCAUAAAUAGGAGCACAUAUUUAAUUAUUUCACCUAUGGGGAUAAUUUCCUCUUACAAGGUUAGCAAGGAGCCUCACCAUGCUCCGCAGUUCCAUAACCAGCAUUCCAUGCCCUUCCGAAGACUCAAAUCGAUGCACGACGCUCCAAAACUAGUCAAUAAUUAUGUAAACCCAUUAAUAUAUGUUCAAUUACUCAUAAUAAUCUAAUUUAUAACAAUUUCAAACCCGAUCAAAAAGUUGACAAAAUCGCCCUCAGGCCCACGUGGCCUAAUUCCAAAAAAUUUUGAAGAUAAAGUUUACCCACAACCUCACUAACUCAAAUAUAUAAUUUACUCUCAAUUUCAUGCCCAAAAUCGUGGUCAAAAUCCAUGAAUACCAAUUUUCUAGGUUUUUCCCUCAAAUCCUAAGUUUCUCCUAAUUUCCAUGUUAAAACAUAUACAUAAUCAAUGUAUUUAACUAAUAUAGGUGGGAUGGCUUACCUUUCCAUUGUUGAUGAAAACUCCCUCUUGAAACCCUCCAAAAUCGCCCAAACCAAGAGAAAAUGAAGGAACAUGGGCCAAAUCCCGUUUUUAAAAGAACAGACUACCACUAACCUUUCCGCACAUGCGGUCACUUGAUCGCUUAUGCGGUUGCGCAAGUGAGGCCCCACUACCGCAUUUAUGGUCCUCCGCCAGGCCCCCUUACUCUACUUCUGCACUUCUCCUUCCGCAGGUGCGGUCCCGCUUUUGCGGCAAGAUGACCGCAUCUGCGGUCCCAAUCUUCUCCCUUCUCAAGCGCAUCUACGCUCCUUUGACCGCUUCUGCGGCUCCGCACCUGCGGCCAAGACCUCGCAGGUGACGUUACAUCAGAUGACAACAGGCUUCAGCUCUUCCUCCCAACUCCAAUUCGAUCCAUUAACUACCCAGAAUCCACCCGAGGCCCCCGGGACCUCGUCCAAUCACACCAACCAGUCCCAUAACAUAAUACGGACCUGCUCGAGACCUCAAAUCACAUCAAAUAAUGCUAAAACCAUGAAUCACACUCCUUUUCAAACUCGAUUAACUUUAAAACUUCAAACAUCUUCAUUCGAUGCCGAAACUUAUCAAAUCACAUCCAAUUGACCUCAAAUUUUGCACACAAGUCAUAUUCGACAUUACAGACCUAUUCUAACUUUCUAAAUUGAAAUCCGACCCCGAUAUCAAAAAGUCCAUUCCAGUCAAACUUCUUAAAAACUUUCAAAUUUCUAACUUUAACCAAACGACUCCAAAAUAACCUACGGACCUCUGAAUCCACUUCCUAUCGCGCUCCCAAUACCUGAAUCACCAUACGGAGCUAUUCCCAGACUUAGAUCCCAAACGGACAUCGAUAACAUUGAAAUGCGCAUCAACCCAGAUUUAUGAAAUUCUUCCAAAAAUGUUAAAUUCCACAAUAGGCGUCAAAACACUUCCUGGUCAUCCAAAACCCAAUCCGAACAUACGGCCAAGUCCAAUAUCAUCAUACAAACAUGUUGGAACCUUCAAAUCCUGAUUCCGAUGCCGUUUACUCAUAAAUCAAACCUUACUCAAUUCUUUCAACUUAAAGUUUCUGAAAUGGGAAUUUUCUUUCAAAAUCAAUUCCAAACGUCCCUAAAUUCAAUUCCGACCACGCGUGCAAGUCAUAAAUCCUGAAGCGAAGCUAUUCAUGACCUCAAACUACUGAACAAUGCAUUAGAGCUCAAAACGACCGGUCGGGUCAUUACACUUGGAAAAGAAUCGCAUCACAAAGAAAAACCAAGGGGGAAUUAUUACUCUACUUAAGAAAAAUAAAAUAUAUUUUUCUUCGAAUUUGACCCUCAAGAAGACAGUCGAGAAAAUCCAUCAUCGAGAAAUGUCAAAAAAAAAUUAACCAACAGAAAUGAAAAGAGGUAAAAGAAACUUUCGUGAUUCAUCUAGUCGGGGUCCUAAUCAAAGUCGGGAUCUCCUUUGCAUGCCCGACCCAGUGCACACAUCCAUAAUGAGAGCUUCUUUUCCAUUUUCUUUGGGUACACCCUAGAGUUUUUCAUUUGACUCUCUCCAAGUUUCUCUUUUCAGUCCUCCUUCUCUUUCCAUCUUGAAGAUCAGCCUUUCUUCCCCCACUCUAAGCAUGCGCUACCUUUCCUGAAUGUCUAGAAUUGCUCUGCCCAUAGCCAGGAAGGGUCUUCCUAAAAUCAGACGAACCUCCCCAUUCUCCUCCAUGUUCACCACAAUGAAGUCCACAUGGAACACAAAUUUGUCCACCCAAACCAUCACAUCUUCCACUAUUCCUUCAUGUAUGAUUUUAGUCUAAUCCUCCAGCUGCAAGAACAUAUGUAUCGACCUGAUUUCUCCAAUCUGUCUGUCCAAUUUGUUGAAAAUAGACAAAGACAUACGAUUAAUAGAAGCACCUGAAUCACAUAAGGAUUUUUUAAAUUUAGUACUUCCUAAAGAGCAAGGCAUAGUAAAACUCCCUGGGUCUCCACACUUUUGAGAGAGCUUAUUUUGCAAAAUGGCACAACAUGCCCUGCAAGCUUGACCACCGAUGUCUCUUCCACUUUCCGCUUCUUGGACAAUAUACCCUUCAAAAAUUUUGCAUAACAUGGAAUCGGUGAAAGCACCUCUGUGAAAGGUAUAUUCAUAUGCACCUGCUUGAACACUUCUAGAAAGCACCUAAAUUGUUUGUCCAACUAUUCUCUUAUUUGCUUCUGGGGGAAAUGUAGAGCAGACAUGUAUUUGCUCUCUUUAGUCUCCUUAUUCAUUGAAAUUCCAUAUUCCUUCUUCUUCUUAUCUAUAGUCUUCCCCCUCUUUUUCAAACCAUCAUCUACCAUCACUUCACCUUCUUGAAUGUUGCUAUUUUUCUACUCCUCAACAAUCUCUACUUGUCCUUCAGUCAACUCACUCUUUUGUUUUGCUCAGGGAUCCUUCAAUAUGUGCCCACUCCUCAAAGACACUGCAUUUAUUGUCUAUUUUGGAUAUCUUUUAGUAUCAUUGGAGAGAGUUCUUGGAACCCUCUCAGACAAUAGAUUAGAAAGUUACCCCACCUGUCUUUCCAAGUUUCGAAUGUCUGUGCCUUGUUAUCGAAUAGCUAUGCCACGUUCUCAUAUCACUGAGCCAUGGGUUUCGAGAUUUUCAUCUGUUUUAAUAAUAAAUUCCUUCAUCAGAUCUUCCAUGCUAGACUGAGCAAACUGUGGAGGAUGAUAUUGCUGCCUCUGCUGAUUUUGAAAACCUAGAGCUCCUUAUCCUUGGGUCUAGAGUUGUUUUGUUGCCAUGAGUUCAGGCUACCACUUGGUGAAAUCCAAAAAACAAUCUGGGUGCCUCUGUCCCAUAUAGUUAAAGUUACUACCACCCUGGUAGUUGCCUCUGUCAAAGCUUCCCACAACAUUUACCACUUCAUCUUCAGCUGAGGCGUGACACUCAUGCGUUGGAUGACCCAUUCCACAGAAAUCACAAAUUGAUGAUGGCUCUGGACCUUAGCUAAGGUCAACUUUCUUAUCUCCUUAGCCAUGGCAUCUAGUUGGGCUUGCACUGACAUGCUAGAAUCUACUUGAUGAACCCCAGUUGAUUUUCUUCUAUCAUUACUUUUAGCAUGCUACUGGUUAGCAUCUUCAGAGAGCUCAUCAAGAAUUUCCACAAUCUCCUCAGGAGUCUUCUUCAUUAAAGGACCCCAACUACAGUGUUCGGAGUUCGUUGUGAGGGAGGGGUCAUUCCAUCACAAAAGUCCUAGAGUUGCAUCCACAAUUCAAUCCCAUUAUGCUGGAACUUCCUCAAUAUCUCCUUGAAUCGUUCCCAAGCCUCGAAAACUAUUUCAGUGUCUGUCUGGCCGAAAAUGUAAAUUUUCCUUCUGAAUUUCAUUGUUUUUGUAGUUGAGAAGUAUUUGUCACGAAACUUUUUAGUCAUAUCUUCCCAUCUCCUGAUCGACCCCGUUGGUAAGCUACAAAACCAGUGCUUUACGUCAUCCUUUAGUGAAAAAGGGAAUGCCUUUAAGUAGAUUGCAUCUUUCGACACUCCGUUGUACUAGAAGGUAAUCAUGAUUUUCUCAAAAUCCAUCAAGUGAGUGUUAGGAUCUUCAUUCACCUUCCCUCUAAAGACACAGUUGUUUUGAUAGUUUGAAGCAAGCCUUGCUUUAACUCGAAAUUAUUCGCUGCUACUGGUGGAGUUCUGAUACUAGACUGUCCCUAAUUAUAUACUGGUUUGGCAUAAUCACCCAAUGCUCUACUAGGCAUGGGUACCGCAUUCUUGAACUGGUCUUCAAUCAGGGGUCGAUUUACAUUGAAUCUUCUACCCCCAUUAUCUUGGACGGUUUCCUCAGCAGCUCGAUGGGCUACCUCAACUACUAUCCUUGUUGCAUCUUCUCUAUGCUGGGAUGCAUCUCUUGUAGUUAAAUCAACCCCAUUGUCACUAUUAUUUGUCAUGUGUUCUUGGGUUGAAGGUUUCCCCAAGAAAUUUUUGGUUAGAUCUUUCUCUUUCCUCAAUUGUCGCAUGUAUUUUUCCAACCCCGGUUUGUAGGGUAUUACUUUUUUUGAAGAAGAUCAAGUAAUACACCACGAACUUAACUUGUUGCCUGCACAUGGAAGAGAAACACGUGAAGAAUAACGUAAAAUAUAUUCUUGAAUUAGCACCAAAAACUAUUUGAACACUAUUGAUUGCCAAUCACCGGCAACAACGCCAAAAUUUGACGAGAGCAAAACACAACAUGAUAAUUAUUGCACGCUAGUCAAAGGUAAUAUCGUAAACUAUCGUCUCCACAUGGAUUGGAUUUACGCAAUGUUCGAGUAAUUUAUGGUUUAAUUGCUAUUUAAGAGGAUCAAUAGUUGUGUUAAAUGAUUAUGAACUAUGCUUAACUACUAAAAUAAAGCAAUUGACAAUUAACUGCAAAGAACUAGAGAUUAGUAGAGUUGGUUUCUUAUCAAUGUGAGGAAUAAGGGUUUGACAGGAUAGGUGCACAAUAACUAUUUGGGAUUUAACUCUAGUUUAAUUCACUCUAAUGUUCCAAUGAUUCUCACGAUUUGCUCGAUGAUUAGUUCAAACGUGUAGUAAAGACUCCUCUCUCGAUUAAAUCUUAACUUUAUGGGGUGAACUAAUAUAAGCACUGUGAAAGUAUGCAAGCAUGUGUUAAUGGAUUAGUCUUUAGGAAAACGUCUCUCGACUAUUCUCCUAACUUGAUUUAAUCAACAAUUCAACAACCUCUUUCGAUUGCUUAAGAGAAUCAAUUAAAUAAAAUAAUGCAAAGAUAAUCACCAAAAUAUUCCUCUUUCGAUUAAAUAAACCGGUGAAUAAAAUUUCGACAAUUCAAAACUCCAUAAACGAAUUUAAGCAAGAACUAGAGUUAAAAUCCAAAAAUAUUUAUCAAAAUACCAUAUCAGUCAAACACUAAGGUAAACUACUCUAUAAUCAUGGAGGAAGUCAUCACAAUUAUAAUUAAAGAGUAAGGAAGCAUCAAUUUAACGUUACAAUCCAAACUCCUAUAUUGAAUUGAUGGAAAAAUGAUGAAAUCUUGUGUCUUGUAGCCUCCAAUGCUCUCCUAAAGCUUCCAAGGUCCAAAGUCCCUUCAAAAAUGUCUUUUUGGUGUAUUUAUACCAUAUAGGUGUGGGCCCCAAUGAAUCUGCCCGUUCCAAGCCGAAAUAGGAAAAAUACUCUAAGAAAUUUGUACACACGCGCUGCCCCAUGCGGGGUGCUAGUGGGAAAGUUUAGAGAGAAACUUCUGAUGGACAGCAGCACAAAAGCACUACUGCCCCGCCCCAUGCGGCACGACUGUGCUAUUUUUAUAGAGCAAAUUAUUUUCGUCAAUUUUUUAUAUCCAAACUUGGCUCCCCACCCCCGAACAUGAUCCCAGUUUAAUUCUUUGGGCUUUUACUCAGACUUCAAAGCUCCAUAUUGUUCGAAUUAGUUCCAAAUUAUGUUGGUUUAUGGGAAAUCACUUUCUACAAGGCAUAAAACACAUAAUAAGUGCAAUACACUAAUGUUUAACCUCAAACACAAGUAAAGUGCAGUAAUUGUGCAAACUAGGACUAAAACACGGGAUUCUAGUCAACCAUCAUCCACCAUAUUACGUUUGACAUCAAUAUCUAAAAUGCAUAAAGUAAUGACGAGGGCAUCAUUAUGAGGGAAAGUCAAACCAUCAGCAUCUGACUCGUCGAAGAUGAUACUUUUUUCGAGUUUGUCGUAUCGUCUGGGGGUGAUAGAUCACUUGAGCUUGUGAGUGGUGGUGUACUUCACAUCGUUGAUAGAGGCAUCGCCGCCACCGCUAAUGAUCAUGUUGAUAGUAUGAGAUGGUGAUGAUGGCUUUGGCGGACCUUGGUGUUCACGUUCUCUGGCAAAGUUGUUUCUCCCCUUGUCGCAACAUGUUCACGACUUCUUGCCUGAGGGCGAUGUAAUCUUCUAUUUUGUGCCCUCGUUCUUGGCAAAACACACAGAGUGUGUCAGAUUUUUUGGUGCUCGAGUCGGACCACAUCUUCGGUGGCCACUUUACCUUUAUUCUGAGCUUCUCCAGAGUAUAGACUAUUUCUGUAGGUGAUACAAAAUAAUUGUGAGCAGAUAAUAAGGGGGAAUACCUCUCUCAUUUCGGUGAGUCCAUGUCGUUGGCUUGGAUGGGCUUCCCUCAAAGAGGAUGGAAAGUGGGGCAUGGGCCCUAACAUAUGGCUGGAGUUGUUCUCUGUUGGGUCGUGAGACUGGGUGAUCACUCCUGAUGUUCUCUCUUUGUUCUUUUCUGAACUCAGCUUGUAUCAAAAUGAGCCGAUAGGUUGUUCCAUUAAGUUCAUCCUCAUCUACUCGGAUUUCAGCAUAAUAAACAUUAUGGAUUUCGUCCCAAGUGGUUGGGGGAUAUUUCAUCAAUCGGCUCAACAAUUUUCUAGUUGCUCUCGAACCAUCUCUAUUCAACCCGUUCUGAAAGGUUGCGACUACCAUUCUCUCGGAUAAGUUCUGUAGAGUCAUCCUUACCCUGUUGAAAUUGGGUGAGGAAGUCCCUUAAUCCUUCUCCCAAGGACUGCUUGAUGGCAAAUAUAUUGUUUACUCUUGUUUCGGCCUUCUUGGCUCUGGCAUGUGCCGUUACAAACUUAUUGACCAUUUCCUCAAAAAUUUCUAUAGAGCGAACUGGUAGUUGUGAGUACCAUGUUAAUGCCCCUCAUAUAGGGGUUUUACCAAAUUUCUUCAGCAAAAUAGAGGACUGAGGUCGUUACCUUUCACAGCGGUAACAUAAUGGGUCACAUGAUCUUCGGGGUCAGUCGUUCCAUCAUAUAUCCUGAGGUAGGGAGGCAUUUUGAAGGUCUUUGGUAUGGCAUGCGGGGUUGCUUCAUCAUUGUACGGCUGCUCUACGAACCUGCCUGCAUUCCUUUUUGGCAAUAGCUUAGGGGUGCCUGGUAUCUUAUCGACUUGUUCUUGGGGUUCUUUCAUUUGAUCUCUGAGUGCUUUAUUUCCAUUCUCCAUUUCUUCCAUCCUCUUUAGAACAUCAUUGAGGGUGCUAUCACCUGCAUUGUUAGUAACAUUAUGAGUUAUACCUGGUACCGGAGAGUUUGGUCGGUUGCUCUGUUCAUCUGCUCAUUGUAUGGUGCAAGCUCUUGCGGUUUCUAUUGUCGUGCUUGGAGCGGGCUUGUUGAGCAUGCUUGCUAGCAUAUCGAUCAACCAUGCUUCAAGGAGCUUUUUUCAUAAAUGGUGGCGUCCCUUCUUCUAUGGAUAUGGAAGCUUAUUUUCUAUUAGGUUUUGUUAUGCUACAAUAAGGAGAAGGCGACCUCUCGCACCUAGGGGAGGCAGUGGGUUUCACAACUCCCGUUGAUAGCAUUCAUGAGGUUGCUAGGGAGAUCACCCGUUACUUUUGUCCUCUCUCCUUGAUUACCUAUCAUGUAGGUUUUUGUACGUGCAAAGAAAGAACUUGGGGUUUGUGAGGUUAGCGAGUCAUGUUAGUUGCAGAUCUAAAGGACACUAAAAUUUAACCAAGAAAUCCCCACAGACGACGCCAAAUUGUUUGACCAAAAAUAUAGAUCUUGGUUCAACUAAUUAAAUUUAUGCAAAUAAGGGUUAACCUUGGUUAAUAAUAAUGUCUUAAAGACGAAGUUCUUGGUAUUAUGACAAGUAGCACGUAGAUCUAUUCCGAAGGUUAUGAUGAUGCACAAUAAUGACAAUAUUCAAGAACCCAAACAGAAGUAAUGUAGCAUUAAAUAGUGAUGAAUAACAAUAAAUGAUAUUUAUGUAAAUAAAUGCGAAUGAGUCACCCGAGAAAGGACGAAAUCGUGGAUGUUCUUUCUGACAAUGAUGAAUGAUGGAUAAGCCUUUGAACAUCCAAGUUAUUCUCGGAUCUAGUAGGAAAGUGUGGACAAGAAUCUUAGUAAAAAGGUUGUUUUUGUAUGCUUGUAAUAAGACCAUCUUCUCUCUAUAAAGUCAAAGUGUUCUUUACAAAAAUGAAUGUUCCCUUCUAUUAUUUUGUCUCUUUCUAUUUAUAGGGAACAUGUUCCUAGAAAAUGAUAGCAUCAAGAACAAGGAUAUAGUUAAGGACAAUGAUNN